Molecule: ribosomal RNA, 484 nt
Filed under: uncultured bacterium
Lineage: Bacteria
Description: partial 16S ribosomal RNA
Rfam family: Bacterial small subunit ribosomal RNA
Source: RNAcentral
AUUGAACGCUGGCGGAAUGCUUUACACAUGCAAGUCGAACGAUGAACCUUAGCUUGCUAAGGGGAUUAGUGGCGAACGGGUGAGUAAUAUAUCGGAACGUGCCUUGUAAUGGGGGAUAACUAGUCGAAAGAUUAGCUAAUACCGCAUACGCCCUGAGGGGGAAAGUAGGGGAUCUUCGGGCCUUACGUUAUAAGAGCGGCCGAUAUCUGAUUAGCUAGUUGGUGGGGUAAUGGCCUACCAAGGCGACGAUCAGUAGCUGGUCUGAGAGGACGACCAGCCACACUGGAACUGAGACACGGUCCAGACUCCUACGGGAGGCAGCAGUGGGGAAUUUUGGACAAUGGGCGCAAGCCUGAUCCAGCCAUUCCGCGUGAGUGAAGAAGGCCUUCGGGUUGUAAAGCUCUUUCGCAAGGGAAGAAAACUUACCAUCGAAUAAAUGGUGAGGCUGACGGUACCUUGAUAAGAAGCACCGGCUAACUACGUG